Non-coding RNA from Cinara cedri, 1138 nucleotides. The record is from the annotation of a GenBank genome assembly. NCBI's taxonomy places the organism in Eukaryota, Metazoa, Arthropoda, Insecta, Hemiptera, Aphididae.
CUUAUGAAUUAGAAAUGUAUAGAUGUGUAUUACAAACAAAAGUAUCUCAACAACCAAAUAUAGAAAUAUUUUGGACAUGUAUAAUAACUACAAUAAUGAAUUUUAUCAUCAAACUAAUUUAAGUGGACUCUCGUGUUACAUUCUGAAAUAGUAUAGCAAAACUUCGUCACAUAAAACAUCAACAUAGAAAUGUAGGAACAAUAAAUAGGAAUAUUUAAUACUAAAAAAUUUUAGGAUACUAAAAAUUAAAAUACAUAUUUUUAUUUUUAAAAUGAAAGCAAAUAAAAAUUUUAAAAAUUAAAUAGGCUAUACUACGUUUUGGAACUUGGAAUUUUAUACGAAUAAAGGAUGAUAAACUAACAAUAAAAAAAUUAUAUAAUAUCGAUUUCAGUUGAGAUUGGACACUCGACCUUUUGCAACUGGGUGACUCAAUUAUCAUGUAAUAUAAUUUAGUAGCAUAUAAAAGUUAUAUACAGUGAAAAUAAUUUUUUUUCUGUUAUUUUCUGCUUGCGUAAAAUUAUUAUAUUAUUUUUAUACUAUUAUGUCAAAGUGAUAGGGCCAUUGAUAAGGCCAGGCAUUUUCAGGUGGGGCCAUGGCCCUACCUGGCUCGUCCAUGGCGCUGACACUGCUUCUAACCUUUAUAAAAUAACUAUCAAUAUUAUAAUUAUACAUGAUUAUUACCCAUAUAGCUGCUAAAUAACAAUACAGUUAAUAUUAGUUGUACCUAUAUAUUGUAAGAGGAAUUUUAAAAUUAAAAUAAAAUUUUGAAAGUAUUGAUAUCCAGUGAAAAAAACCCAUAGGUAAUAGUUGUACUCAGAGCCGAAAAAAAGAGGGAGGGAUAAUAGGGAUAUAGCCCAGGGCCCCUCAAAAGAAGCCUCCAGACAAAUUUUGGAAUUGUAAUUUUUCGACCAUUGUCCUUUAAUAAUAAUACGUUAUUACUCAAAUAAUUGCAAUUUUAAAAAGAUCUAACACUGCUAACAGUUUUGUUGUGUGUGAGAACUUCAAAAGUUAGGAUAAGUAGGUAGGACAGUCAUUCAUAAUUUACAGCUGUAUGAAACGAUACAUCUUACCUUACGAAAUACGAUUUUGAACAAUGUUUGGUUAAAUAUGUUGUAUAGUUGUUUAAUUUUUAUGAUUU